CGGACGGGUGAGUAAUGUCUGGGAAACUGCCUGAUGGAGGGGGAUAACUACUGGAAACGGUAGCUAAUACCGCAUAACGUCGCAAGACCAAAGAGGGGGACCUUAGGGCCUCUUGCCAUCGGAUGUGCCCAGAUGGGAUUAGCUAGUAGGUGGGGUAACGGCUCACCAAGGCCACGAUGCAUAGCCGACCUGAGAGGGUGAUCGGCCACACUGGGACUGAGACACGGCCCAG
RNAcentral lists this ribosomal RNA (232 nucleotides) under uncultured bacterium. RNAcentral describes it as "partial 16S ribosomal RNA". It matches the Rfam family "Bacterial small subunit ribosomal RNA", at positions 99 to 334 of the family's 1533-position model. The record is from RNAcentral.